CUCUUAUCUCUUGUGAGCGCGGACGGCUCGCCGGCUAGGUUUCGGUGUAGGUUUAGAAGUAAGCUUUAGUUUAGAAUUGGACGAAUAAAUGAACGGAGCGUUCACAUAAACUCCGACACGAGUCGUAAAAGUGCAUUGAUAUAAUCAUAUUGUUGAGCCUUAAGGGCCAACCAAAUAGAGGGCAAUUACCCUCUCAACAUAAUCUUCGGUAGAAGACUCAGUUGCCAACCGCAACCACCGUCCCCCGCUACAAGAGCGGGCCACGGGAACCCGAUCGCUGCCGCCGGAGUCAUACCGUACCAUACCAACGCAUACCGCAGCUCGGACCAAAAACGACAUAAAGUUAAUUGACAUGAUAGUUCAUGUAUAGGAAUUGUUUCCUUUUAUACCCGGUACUCGAAGAGUAAAUAGGGUAUAUUGUAUUUGUGCGAAUAACAGUUGUAUGUAACGCACCGAAGCGUUUCCG
Molecule: long non-coding RNA, 466 nt
Filed under: Drosophila guanche
Lineage: Eukaryota; Metazoa; Arthropoda; Insecta; Diptera; Drosophilidae
Source: RNAcentral